CCCAAAACUUUCAGCUUCUUCAAAGCAGACAAACAUGGAUGACUUCUGUUUCUCUUCUCCCUCCAUCCUAAUCCUUUUUUACUGUUAGCAUGUGUGCUUUGUUGAAUAAAUUGGACUGUGCUUGCAUGUGAAACAUUUAGUUUCUUUUUAUAUCUUGUGUUUUACGUUUUGUAUAUAUAUAAUUAUUCGUUGCAAUUAUAUCCAUAUUUCUUCAUAGCAGGAAGUCAAAUAAAAGCAUUAGUAUAUUAUUCAAUUUAAGUGCCCAUCCCUUCAUGUUAAAGUUUUGCAAGAAUAUCCCGCAAAUUGUGAAUGAGCCUCCCUCCCGUAUUUUUUCUUACUAGAUAGGGAGAGAGCGUACAGGGGGUGUUUCCUAAGACCCCGCCAUUGUUUUGUUUGGCUAUUGAUUUUGACUGUUAUCAGAAUACUAGUUGCUUUUCUCUUUUUUCUUUGUACUUUGACGGGUCAUUUCGUUUGUGGACAAGUUAUACAAAGAUUAUAACGUACGAGGAUUAUAAUAUGGUGAAAUGUAGCCAGUUGAUAAUUGUAUUUGCUUCGGAAAUGUUUGGUUCAUUGUAUUAACAUUUAGAUAUGAUGUGUAUCAUCUAGAACAUGUGUUUGGUUUUAAAUUGGAAAUGUUGUUUCCGACAAAGUGGCAGUAAAUCUCAAUGUGCUUAGUCCUCUCAUGAAAUAACUAGAUUUGAUGCGAUAUGAAGGGCUGCUUGGUUAUCACACACAAGUUCCAUCUGACGAAUUCUCCAAUUUUAGUUCUCUGAGCAACUAUUUAAUCCAAACUAGCUCACAAGUUGCUACAACCAUUGCUCCAUAUUCGGCUUCUGCACUAGAUCGAGCUACCACACUCUGUUUCUUACUUUCUUCCUGGACACCAAAUUACCUCCUAUUAAUACACAAUAUCUGGAUGUAGAACGUCUUUUAGAAGGCGAUCCUGCCCAAUCAACGUAUGUAGAUCCAACAUUUUGCUCACGACCUCGAUCCUCAAAAAGUAGUCCUUUGCUUGGGCUGACAUUUUAUAUCGCAGAAUGCAGACAAUUGCAUCCCAAUGGCUAUCACAGGGAGAAACUGAUUUACAACAUACACAGUAAAAGAAAUGGCAGGCAGGAGUGUAGCAUUCAGAUCCAUAAGAGUGGUCAAUGGGUCUACAAUCGAUCAUUCCUGUCUCCUUAAGAAUAUCUAAGGCAUACUUUUAUUGUGAAACAUCAAUGCCUGAUCUAGACUGAGCAACCUCUAUACCUAGAAAAUACUUCAGUCUGCCGAGGUCUUUAGUCUGGAAAUGUUGAAAGGGAUGUUGCUUUAAAUUUGAUAUGAUCCUAGGAAGCUCAUGGACGAUUAUGAAGGCUAAAACCCGCGUUAGAGCUUUGGAUGUGCAUUUCCGUGCCACACCCUUGGAAGAGGAAGAUAGGGCCUUUGGAGGCCAUUGAAGAGCAAGCCACAAGGGUGUGGACGAUUGCUUGGAAGAGACAUGGAGAUUAAGGCCCAUUAAUUAAAGCCACACAAAGUGGCUAGAAGUGCAAACAUGGCUAGAAGUGUAAUUUGUGGCUAGGAGUGCAAACUCGAGGCUAGGAUUGCAAUGCAAGUGAAGAAGGGCCCAUGUGAGGUUAUUUCCGCAAAGGCCACUUUUGGGUCUUUGUUGUAAUAGGGCCUAGUAGUUAAUUGCCAAAUGUGGCUAGUAGUUAAUAAUUGUGGCUAUGCAUGUAAAGGCAAAACUAUAUAAGCUUUCUUUAGCCUAUUUUCAUUCCUUAGCUUGAGAUUUAUGAUGAAACUUUUAUGAGUGUGUUUUCUCGUUGUAUGGAGCUAGUUUAGCUAGGAUUAGCUAGUAUUAGGAUUAGUGGGUGAAUUCCCUUAACUCUUACCUUGAAUCUCUCUUGGAUAAUCUAGGAUUAGAUUUCCCUGUAUGAGUUUAAGUCUUUUCUUCCUUGGAAUGAAUUCAUCUUAGAUUGUUGAUUAA
This is a long non-coding RNA of Lycium ferocissimum, 1963 nucleotides long. RefSeq lists it as uncharacterized. NCBI's taxonomy places the organism in Eukaryota, Viridiplantae, Streptophyta, Magnoliopsida, Solanales, Solanaceae. The transcript has 2 exons. The record is from RefSeq and is a predicted model, not a curated record.